This 253-nucleotide ribosomal RNA is filed under the name uncultured bacterium. RNAcentral describes it as "partial 16S ribosomal RNA". It matches the Rfam family "Bacterial small subunit ribosomal RNA", at positions 524 to 776 of the family's 1533-position model. The record is from RNAcentral.
UGCGGGGGGGGCAAGCGUUGUUCGGAAUUACUGGGCGUAAAGGGCUCGUAGGUGGCCAACUAAGUCAGACGUGAAAUCCCCAGGCUCAACUUGGGAACUGCGUCUGAUACUGGAUGGCUUGAAUUCGGGAGAGGGAUGCAGAAUUCCAGGUGUAGCGGUGAAAUGCGUAGAUAUCUGGAGGAAUACCGGUGGCGAAGGCGGCAUCCUGGACCGAGAUUGACACUGAUGAGCGAAAGCUAGGGGAGCAAACGGG